AAAUUAUUGGAGUCUUUCCCUUUAGGUUUGCUUUUGAGUUUGUAAAAGAAUUCGAAAACAUCUAAAGGGGAUGGUCAAUAAUUUUUUUUGAAAAAAGACAUUUUUUGAAAUUAAACUUUUUGUAUUCAUUUGUCUAAAAAUUAUUUUUAUAAUAUAAAAACAACUUUUGACAAUGGAUCUCUUGGUUCUCGCAACGAUGAAGAACGCAGCAAAAUGCGAUAAGUAGUGUGAAUUGCAGAAUACGGAAUCAUCGAAUCUUUGAACGCAUAUUGCACUUUUUAGUUUACUAAAAAAGUAUGUCUGUUUGAGUAUCAGUAAAUAUUCUCAUAAAAAUCAUUGUGUAUUUUUAUGGUUAUGAGUGUUUUACAACGAUACAAGUUGUUUCACUUUAAAUUUUUUUUUAAUAUUGAAAUUUUUCUAAUUUUAAUAAUUAAAGUUGGAUAAAAUUUUCCCGUCAAAAGGAAUAACCUAAACAAUUUUAAAUGAUUAAUUUUAGCAAAAUUUCGUAAAAAAGGAAAAUUUUUAUUAAAAUAACUUGAUCUCAAAUCAGAUAAGAGUACCCGCUGAACUUAAGCAUAUCAAUAAGCGGAGGAAAAGAAACUAACAAGGAUUCCCUUAGUAACGGCGAGUGAAGCGGGAAGAGCUCAAAUUUGAAAUCUUCAAGGUUUUACCUUGACGAAUUGUAGUUUAAAGAAGUGUUUUCUGCUGAAGUUUUGGUAAAAGUUCUUUGGAAUAGGACAUCAUAGAGGGUGAGAAUCCCGUAUUUGACCAUUAUUUUCAGCUUUGUGAUACACUUUCAAAGAGUCGGAUUGUUUGGGAAUGCAGUCCAAAAUGGGUGGUAAAUUUCAUCUAAAGCUAAAUAUUGGCGAGAGACCGAUAGCGAACAAGUACCGUGAGGGAAAGAUGAAAAGAACUUUGAAAAGAGAGUUAAACAGUACGUGAAAUUGUCAAAAGGGAAGCGUUUGACACCAGUGUUGUUUUCUCGAAAAUCAAUUAAAAAUGGCUCGAUUUUGUAUUGCUGAGACCUUAAAAGCUCACUGUACAUUUUUCGUGUCUUUUUAAUGCACUUUUCGUUUAACAAGUCAACAUCAGUUUCUUUUGUUGUAAAAGGGUCAUUGGAAGGUGGCUUUCUUUCGGAGAAAGUGUUUAUAGCCUUUGGCCUCUGCAAUCGAAGAGACUGAGGUCUGCAGCGUAGACUCUUCGGGGUUAGAUACAUUCGUGCUAAGUUAUAGCUUUUUAUAGACAACUUGCUGACUAUAAUUAGUCUUGUAGCUUACUCGCUUAUGCUAUUUUACCUACGCUUAGGAUG
Molecule: unclassified non-coding RNA, 1309 nt
Filed under: uncultured Neocallimastigales
Lineage: Eukaryota; Fungi; Neocallimastigomycota; Neocallimastigomycetes; Neocallimastigales
Description: partial contains internal transcribed spacer 1, 5.8S ribosomal RNA, internal transcribed spacer 2, and large subunit ribosomal RNA
Rfam family: Eukaryotic large subunit ribosomal RNA (bases 537-1309)
Source: RNAcentral